AGGACGAACGCUGGCGGCGUGCCUAAUACAUGCAAGUAGAACGCUGAAGGAGGAGCUUGCUCUUCUGGAUGAGUUGCGAACGGGUGAGUAACGCGUAGGUAACCUGCCUGGUAGGCGGGGGAUAACUAUUGGAAACGAUAGCUAAUACCGCAUAAGAGUAGAUGUUGCAUGACAUUUGACUUAAAAGGUGCAAUUGCCACCACUACCAGAUGGACCUGCGUUGUAUUAGCUUAGUUGGUGAGGUAACGGCUACACCAAGGCGACGAUACAUACGCCGACCUGAGGAGGGUGAUCGGCCACGACGUGGGACUGAGACCACGGCCAGACUCCGAGGGAGCAGCGAGUAGGAAUCGUCGACAAGUGGACGGAAGU
Molecule: ribosomal RNA, 372 nt
Filed under: uncultured soil bacterium
Lineage: Bacteria
Description: bacterial SSU rRNA
Rfam family: Bacterial small subunit ribosomal RNA
Source: RNAcentral